This 381-nucleotide long non-coding RNA is filed under the name Homo sapiens (human). RNAcentral describes it as "long non-coding RNA NONHSAT139066.2". Lineage: Eukaryota; Metazoa; Chordata; Mammalia; Primates; Hominidae. The record is from RNAcentral.
AGGUUUUCAGGGGACAGGCCAACCCAGAGGACAGGAUUCCCUGGAGGCCACAGAGGAGCACCAAGGAGAAGAUCGCCUGUGGGUCUUCAUUGCCCAGCUCCUGCCCACACUCCUGCCUGCUGCCCUGACGAGAGUCAUCAUGUCUCUUGAGCAGAGGAGUCUGCACUGCAAGCCUGAGGAAGCCCUUGAGGCCCAACAAGAGGCCCUGGGCCUGGUGUGUGUGCAGGCUGCCACCUCCUCCUCCUCUCCUCUGGUCCUGGGCACCCUGGAGGAGGUGCCCACUGCUGGGUCAACAGAUCCUCCCCAGAGUCCUCAGGGAGCCUCCGCCUUUCCCACUACCAUCAACUUCACUCGACAGAGGCAACCCAGUGAGGGUUCCAG